UCUUUUAUGGGGUGACUGCGUACCUUUUGUAUAAUGGGUCAGCGACUUAUAUUCUGUAGCAAGGUUAACCGAAUAGGGGAGCCGAAGGGAAACCGAGUCUUAACUGGGCGUUAAGUUGCAGGGUAUAGACCCGAAACCCGGUGAUCUAGCCAUGGGCAGGUUGAAGGUUGGGUAACACUAACUGGAGGACCGAACCGACUAAUGUUGAAAAAUUAGCGGAUGACUUGUGGCUGGGGGUGAAAGGCCAAUCAAACCGGGAGAUAGCUGGUUCUCCCCGAAAGCUAUUUAGGUAGCGCCUCGUGAAUUCAUCUCCGGGGGUAGAGCACUGUUUCGGCAAGGGGGUCAUCCCGACUUACCAACCCGAUGCAAACUGCGAAUACCGGAGAAUGUUAUCACGGGAGACACACGGCGGGUGCUAACGUCCGUCGUGAAGAGGGAAACAACCCAGACCGCCAGCUAAGGUCCCAAAGUCAUGGUUAAGUGGGAAACGAUGUGGGAAGGCCCAGACAGCCAGGAUGUUGGCUUAGAAGCAGCCAUCAUUUAAAGAAAGCGUAAUAGCUCACUGGUCGAGUCGGCCUGCGCGGAAGAUGUAACGGGGCUAAACCAUGCAC
This 611-nucleotide ribosomal RNA is filed under the name Escherichia coli. RNAcentral describes it as "partial 23S ribosomal RNA". It matches the Rfam family "Bacterial large subunit ribosomal RNA", at positions 582 to 1194 of the family's 2925-position model. Lineage: Bacteria; Pseudomonadati; Pseudomonadota; Gammaproteobacteria; Enterobacterales; Enterobacteriaceae. The record is from RNAcentral.